This 235-nucleotide long non-coding RNA is filed under the name Mytilus galloprovincialis (Mediterranean mussel). The record is from RNAcentral. Lineage: Eukaryota; Metazoa; Mollusca; Bivalvia; Mytilida; Mytilidae.
GUACCUUUUAAAUUCUCAAAAUGAAAAUAUUACUUAGUGGUCUACAGACGUUAGUAAAUAUAUUUCAUAAUGGAAAAUCGAACUUUCUGAAAGAUGUUUGUAUACAAAAAUAAGGAGAUGUUGUAUGAUUGCCCAUAUAAGCUCAAAUGAAGUGGAUGUAAGUAGUGAUAGGCAUCUGUAAUGCCUUCAACAAUGAGAAAUACCCAUACCGUAUAAUCCGCUAUAAUUUUCCCCG